Molecule: ribosomal RNA, 402 nt
Filed under: uncultured bacterium
Lineage: Bacteria
Description: bacterial SSU rRNA
Rfam family: Bacterial small subunit ribosomal RNA
Source: RNAcentral
UGGGGAAUCUUAGACAAUGGGGGAAACCCUGAUCUAGCCAUGCCGCGUGAGUGAUGAAGGCCUUAGGGUCGUAAAGCUCUUUCGCUGGGGAAGAUAAUGACUGUACCCAGUAAAGAAACCCCGGCUAACUCCGUGCCAGCAGCCGCGGUAAUACGGAGGGGGUUAGCGUUGUUCGGAAUUACUGGGCGUAAAGCGCGCGUAGGCGGAUCAGAAAGUUAGAGGUGAAAUCCCAGGGCUCAACCCUGGAACUGCCUUUAAAACUCCUGGUCUUGAGUUCGAGAGAGGUGAGUGGAAUUCCGAGUGUAGAGGUGAAAUUCGUAGAUAUUCGGAGGAACACCAGUGGCGAAGGCGGCUCACUGGCUCGAUACUGACGCUGAGGUGCGAAAGCGUGGGGAGCAAACA